UGGGUAGGUUUCUGAUUUCUACACAGGC
Molecule: non-coding RNA, 28 nt
Filed under: Mus musculus (house mouse)
Lineage: Eukaryota; Metazoa; Chordata; Mammalia; Rodentia; Muridae
Source: RNAcentral